CAACCCUCAAGCCCCCGGGUUUGGUGUUGGGGAUCGGCUCUGCCUUCUGGCGGCGCCGCCCCCGAAAUACAUUGGCGGUCUCGCUGCAGCCUCCAUUGCGUAGUAGCUAACACCUCGCAACUGGAACGCGGCGCGGCCAUGCCGUAAAACCCCAACUUCUGAA
RNAcentral lists this unclassified non-coding RNA (163 nucleotides) under Fusarium sp. Its description in RNAcentral is "partial internal transcribed spacer 2". The record is from RNAcentral. RNAcentral also lists the same sequence under 2 other names. Lineage: Eukaryota; Fungi; Ascomycota; Sordariomycetes; Hypocreales; Nectriaceae.